AUCACUCUGCCUCUAGACAUGCUUGGGGGUUUUGUGACCAAAGUGCAAGGCUGGCACUUUGAUGUAUUAAAGCUCACACACUUGGCCUCAGCCCACUGAUCCAGCCUGUCCAGAUCCCUCUGUGGAACCUUCCGACCCUCCAGCAGAUCAACAGCUCCACCCAUUUGGUCUCAUCUACCAUCUGAGGGUAUAUUCAAUUCCCUCAUCCAUAUAAUUGAUUAAGAUAUUAGACAUGACUAGACCCAAUACGGGUCCAUGAGGGACACCACUAGCAACUGGCCACCAACAGGAUUUAACUCCAUUUACCACCACUCGCUGGGCCUGGACACCCAGACAAUUUUUUAGCUGCUGCACCCGUCCAAGCCAAGAACAGCCAAUUUCCCCACGAGAAUGCUAUGGGAAGCGGUGUCAAAGGCAUUAGCAAAGUCCAGCGCAUAUCACAAGGAAAAAAUGGAAGGAAAAAAUCUUGACUAUGGUCAUCAGCAAAGCUACUGUAGGGGUCAUGGAGGAAAGACCUUUAGGCUUGCAGAACAUUUGGCUGCUGGAAAUAAUUUGGUAGUCUUCCUUAACUUCAUCAGCAAAAAGAAAAACUAGUCAAUGAAGAACAAGAGUGGCCAAUGAAGAACAAGAGUGUUAUUGUUUAGGUUUUUUUUCUUUUUCCCAUGACACUGGUAGCACCUUUUUUUUAAAUUAAAUUCAAACUAGGCCAAAAGGAGAAGUAGAGUUUAGAAAAGAUCCUGGACAAAUUGUAUUUGUCCUCUUACAUAUGUCUAAAUUUUAGUUUUAUGUGAAAUAGGUUUUCUGGUUUAUUUGUAAGUUCCUCUCAGAAAUAGUAAUUGUUCACAUGCUCGCAUAGGAAAUGGUAGUAUGCAACUUUGCAGUAAUUUCUGAUAAUCAUAAAAAAAUUAAACAUAAAACCACUUGA
Long non-coding RNA from Passer domesticus (house sparrow), 925 nucleotides. RefSeq lists it as uncharacterized. The record is from RefSeq and is a predicted model, not a curated record. Lineage: Eukaryota; Metazoa; Chordata; Aves; Passeriformes; Passeridae. The transcript is spliced from 3 exons.